GAGCGCGUGUGUGUCUGGUUUAAUUGAAGGUCCCCUACUGGUCCCAACUCCAUAAGUAGCUGCAAUGGUGAGAAAAGGGGAGGGGAACCCACCCCCAAAGGGAGGGGUCAUCUCCCCAACAUUCCCUUUACACACAGAACGAAACAGACGAGCACAGGAGUUCCCAUCAUAGCUCAGCGGAAACAAAUCCAACUAGGAACCAUGAGGUUGUGGGUUCGAUCCCUGGUCUUGCUCAGUGCGUUAAGGAUCCGGCAUUGCCAUGAGCUGUGGUGUAGGUUGAAGAUGCGGCUGGAAUCUGGCAUGGCUGUGGCUGUGGUAUAGGCCAGGGGCUACAGCUCCGAUUAGACCCCUCACCUGGGAACCUCCAUGUGCCAUGAGUGCAGCCCUAAAAACAAAACAAAACAAAACAGACAGACAAGCCCCGAGUCACUCUUGUGGUUAGAAGUCAGCCAUAAUGGAAGGGGGAGGGACAAGCGGAGAGCAGGGGGUGUACCUGAAAAAGACCGACCCACAGACCGCCCCCUCCCCUGAACUGCACUGCUGGAGGCACUUGGGUCUGCCUCAACUCAAGGGGAGUCAGGAUAUCCAAAGUGGUUGAGGAAGGUCAGGCCAUCAGGGAUGGAGGCAGGAGGAAGGUCCACGAGGUGGGGGCUGUUUGUGCUCCGCCGGCUGGAAUCCCCCAAAUCCUUCAGGCCAGGAAAGGGCCAAUCUGUAGCUCCAGUGAAUAGGUCUGGUGCUGCCAGAUGCUCCAGGCAGGGAGCUAGAAGGGGGCCAACAAAGCCUGCUCUCUAGGGAGAAAUGACGCUGCCCCCAGCUUCUCAACCAGGGUGCAGCGGUCCUUGAGCUCUACAGUUGGCUUGUAGUGCAAACUUGAUCCCCUUAAGCUUCUUCUUGCAGGUGUCCUUGGAGCUGGCAGAGAUCAUUUUGCUCUGAAGACUACAGACUGGCAGGAGAGCAUCACCUUCUUUCAAGGCUUCGCCUCCUCUGGUGUCGACAGCUUGUGCACCAGCAUGUCAUUGAAGCCACAUUUGCAGAAGAGAGCGCAAUGAGCAGAGCCAGAGCUGAGGGCUGCCUCCCUGCUGCAGGGAUCCUCCUCAGGCCAGGACGGCUUUCAAUCACUCUACCCCUGGACCAGGAAAGCAAGCACCAUGUCUACCCCAGGACAUGGUUCCUUUCAGUUCUGACAUGACUUUUUCUGGAGUCAUUAAAAAUACCAAAUGUGGUUCAAUGCAGCAGUACAGUCAAUGGCAACUGCAUUCCUCUGGUUGCUCAAGGCGAGACCUGGGAACCCUUCUUGACUCCUUCAUUCCCUCACUCCACCCCACAUCCAAUCCAUCAUCCAACCCUGUGAGCACUACUGCAAAAUACCCCUGGAAUCUGACCCCGUCUCACUUCAUCCACAGUGUCCGCUGGGGCUAAGUUAUCCUCAUCUUCCAUCAAAAUACUUCAAUGGUCUCCAACCCGGUCUCCUCCUACUUGCUGCUCUAUCAUCUCAUCUACAGAGAAGCCAGAGUGAUCUUUUCAAAAUAGUAAGUUAUAUCAUGUCACCCCUCAGCUCAAAAAUCCUCCAGUGGUUCCCCUAUCACGCCAAAGAAAAGGCAAAAGACCUAACAAUUGCUGAGGUGACCCUACAUAUUCCAGCUUGUCACCUCUUCAGUCUCAUCCCCUACCUCUCUCCCCUGACUCACUCUGCUUCAGCCAGACUGGCUUCUUGCUGCAUCCCCAAAACAUCGGGUAUGCCUGUGUCUUAAGGCUUACAUAGGUGCUAUUCCCUCAGCCUGCCAUCCCCUUCGUGCCAAUAUCUUCUUCGUUCAUUCCCUUUGUCCAAAAGUAAUGUUAUCAGAGAGAAGUUGCAUAACCAUCCUCAUGAAAAUAUACCUAGUCUAUCUUUAAGGAACUGACUUUGCUUUAUUUUUCAUAGCACUUACCAUUACCUAAACUAUUUAAGCAUUUGUUUACACAUCAAUUUUUUCCCCUCCUAGAAUAAAAGUUCUAUGAUAGAAAGGUUGUACACCCCAUAGCCCCAAUAUCUAGAACAGUAAAGGCAUUCAAUGAAUAGUUAAUGAAAAUGAAUGAAAGAUUUUGAACAAAUACAUACAAGAGGAAGUGGUUAAUAACAGAUGAAAAAGUGUCCAAACUUUCCAAUAAGAAAAGAAACUGACCAAUUUCUCGUUGACCAAGAGAAUAUCUUUGCCUAUUAAAUUGACGACUGCAACCAAAUAAUCAAUCCAUUGCUUUGAUAAAGCAAUACAACUGGUGUUUUCAUUUAUUAUUAGCAACCAGUCUCACUGAUGUACUUAAUAGAUAUUUAUUGAGUGCUACUAUGUAUGAGCCAUUGGGUAAUUUUCCAAUACUCUAAUCCACCAUAAGGUUCAAAGUCUAUGUGUUUGUCCAGAUCAGCUAGGUUAGCCGUGGUAACAAAUUAACUCUGGAAUCCAGUAGACCACCAUCACAAAGCUUCACUCUUGCUCACUCAAACCACCUCCCUCAGAUUGAUGGAAAGGUAGUAUUACCAUGGCCCUUCCCCUCACAUUGCUUUGCCCAGAACUAGUCACACAGCCCUACCCACCUGCCCAGAGGCCAAGAAAGGACGUUUUCUGCAUGUCCCAACAUGGAUGGACCUGGAAGGUAUUAUGCUAAGUGAAAUAAGUCAGUGAAAAACAAAUGCCAGGCGUUCCCAUCAUGGCUCAGUGGUUAGUGAACCUGACUAGCCUCCACGAGGACACAGGUUCGAUCCCUGGCCUCGCUCAGUGGAUUAAGGAUCCGGCCUUGCUGUCAGCUGUGGUGUAGGUCACAGACAUGGCUCGGAUCCCAAGUUGCUGUAGCUGUGGUGUAAGCCGACAGCUACAGCUUCGACUGGACCCCUAGCCUGGGAACCUCGGGUGCGGCCCAAAAGACAAAAAAAAAAAAAAAAAAAAAAAAAAAAAAGACAAAUACCAUAUGGUCUCACUUAUAAGCAGAAUCUAAAAAACAAAACAAACAAAAUGAAAAUGGUCUCAGAGAUAAAGAGGAAAAACUGGUGGUUGUCGGAGGGAAGGGGUGGAGGUUGAAUAAGUGAAGGUAAUUAAGAAAUACAAAUCUCCAAUGGUCAAAUAAAUAAGCCUUGGGAAUGUAACACAUGGCAAAAAGAAUAUGGUCAAUAAUGUUGUAAUGACUUUGCACGGGGUUACUGGACUUUGCAUGGUUACUAGACUUAUGAUGGAGAGCAUAAGGCAUGUAAACACCCAAUCACUCAGUAGGAUACCCGAAAUGAGCAUAAUACUGUAUGUCAACCAUAUUUCAGUAGAAACAAAUGAAUAUAUAAAGAAGGUAAAAAUUAAGAGAAAGUAACCCACAAGAAAAUAUGUGCUUCCCCAUGUAGGCACGGCUACCCUGAAGGACCGUAACAUCUCCAAGCAGUUUAGGACCUUUCGCUGGGAGAUGCCACCGCCCCAUUGAAAGCCCCUGACCUUCCCUCUCCGGGCUGCCUUCCUCCCUCUGAUCUCAGCACCAGCCCCCCUACACUGCACUCACUCGGCUCCAGCCACGCUGGUUUUCCCUCCUGUUCCUGGACCAGACCGCACAAGGCGCAUUUCCACCUGGGGUCUUUGCCGCUGCCCUCUUCCUUCAGGGAGCCACGGAGCUCCCUCCCUCCGUCUUUGCUCAUACGUCUCCCUCCCUCUCUCAGUAGGGCCACCCCCCACCACCGUCUUUAAAACACCCACCUCUCUCCCCAGACGGCACUCCUGCUGCUCCCGUCCGCCCUACACACGCCCCGCUCACUUUUCUCCAUGUCACUUCUUAUCUGACAUACGAGGUGUUUUGUUUAUGUGAUAUCAUCUGUGCCUACUCCAUGAAAUCACAAAGAUUUUGUACUUUUAAAAUUGAAGUUUGGUCGAUUUCCAACGUCGUGCCAAUUUCUGCUAUACCGCAAAGUGACCCAGUCAUACAUACAUAUGCCUUCUUUUCCACAUAUCUUUCCCUAUCAUGUUCUAUCCCAAGAGACUGGACACAGUUCUCUGUGCUUGGGUGCUCCAUAAAUAUUUAUCACGCAAGCAAUGAAUGAGGGGUCUGUAUUGAGCGACUGAAUGAAUUUCUGCAGACACUUAGCCAUCACAGCAUUGUUCCUAAAUGAAGCACUUGCCUCUCCUCCUCCCCACCCCCCCAUACCUCCCUCCUCCCUAAAAUUUCUCCUCUCCCACACGCUUUCCCCUAGAUACUUUCUCCAUCCAUCAGCCUAAUGCUUGCUCUGGCUUCGUCCAACCUUGGCAUCCCAUCUGGAUUACGGAUUUGGGUCACUCCUGAUAUAGUCACACUGUGACCGCUUUCUGGCAACGCCCAUCUUGUCCUGCUUUUCACCCUCUGCCCUGUCUCCUUCUCCUUCACCUUCCCAAACACUCCCCAGCUCUGUCCACAAACGUACUUCCCCUCAUAUGCCCAUCCUUCAAGGGUAGGUUCAAACGCCUUCUUCUUCCUCAAGGCUGCCUGAUCCACCAUCCGGAAGUUAGUCUCAUGCUCCAGAGACCCCAUCGUUAUUUGUAACACUUGUGCCCACGUUAUAGCCUUUGCCGCGUAAAAGCUUGUGUUCACCUUAUCCAAGAGUUUAAGUUAAGGGCAGAGAGUAAGUCUUGUUUGUCUAUUGCUUCUCCCAUAGUACAUGAAAGAUGCUCGAUGAAUAUGAAAUGAGAUCAUGUACGUCAAGCCCUUAUUAUGGUUCCUGGCGGAUGACGAAUGUUCAGUCACUGCUGGCUGCUGAUUCCAGUUCGUAGCCAAGGGAGGCAGAGUUCAGUUCCACUCAGAGGAGAGCUUCCACAUUUGAGGUCCACCAGGUGGGUGCUGAGAGGCUGUGAUGGGUCUGGUUCCUUAUUUCUCACUCCCUGUGUCUCUUCCCACCUGUAGCAAGUGCCCCAUGUUCCCUGGCCCAUCUGAGCUCCCCACAGCUGCAGACAGCUUCUGGGCCAGCUGACAGCUUCCCAUCUCACGUGCUUACAGAUGUCUUCCACACCCGUCACAGGGGCUUGCUCGGCUAUUUGUAUAUACAACCCAUAGAUGGGGGAGGGGGUGCUUAAUGCUCCUGGGGCCAACCAUCAACCAACACAGAGGGGAGUUGUUGGGGAAACGGUCAAGACUUUUUGACCCCCAGUGGGACAAUUCGGAAGCACGUUCAUCCACCUUGUUUCCAGAAGGUCCUAUCUGGGAUGGAUUCCCUAUUACCCUCAACAGUAAUGUGCUUUUGGGUUUCCUCUCUUCCCCGACUUACCUCCCCCGCAUCUUUAAUGGCGUCUUCUGGGAUAACUCCCCAAAACUACAUUCUCUCGAGUCCUGCUGUGGGAGACCCAUCACUACUCAACAUUUCUGAAGAAAUGGCUGCCCAGCCCAUUAUCUGACAAAGCCCUAAAUGCCUCCCAUCGUUACACGCCAUCCCUGUGGUCUAUCAGCUCACUGGCCCCAGACACAUCAAUGAUGGCUGAGGGGUGAGGAAUCCUUGGGUUAUCUGCAAAGACAAAGAGUUGAACCGGGAGGUACCUGUCGAUUUUAUCAUAGGGUUGCCUCUCUCCUUAUAGAAAUUGUCCCUAGGAAAUGGUACAGUGACCUACCCCUCUCACUGUCAGAUGUGAUCAAGCCCUUAGAUCUCUGCAAAGAGCUACCCCUACCUUGUGGAGACCACCAUGCUGUGAAGACACAAAGGACUCCCUGCUUUGUGGCUCAGUUUUCUUGGUGUUGUACGUGUUUGUCAAAGAGGCUGUCACGCAGAUGGCCAAAAAGCACGUGAAAAGAUGCUCAACAUCGCUAAUUACUGGAAACAUGCAAAUGAAAACUACAAGGAAGUAUCAUCUCACACCAGUCAGAAUGGCCAUCAUCAAAGUCUACAGACAAUAAAUGCUGGAGAGAGUGUGGAGAAAAGGGAACCUUCCUACACUGUUGGUGGGAAUGUAAAUUGGAGCAACCACUAUGGAAAACAAUAUGGAG
This 5949-nucleotide long non-coding RNA is filed under the name Sus scrofa (pig). Its description in RNAcentral is "lncRNA (ENSSSCG00040057254.1)". Lineage: Eukaryota; Metazoa; Chordata; Mammalia; Artiodactyla; Suidae. The record is from RNAcentral.